CCUACGGGUGGCAGCAGUGAGGAAUAUUGGUCCAUGGCCGGAAGGCUGCCCCAGCCAAGCCGCGUGAAGGACGAAGGUGCCAAGCAUUGUCCACUUCUUUUGUCACGGGACAAAAUCCGGCUCGAGAGCCUGACCGAGGGUACUUGAAGAAAAAGCAUCGGCUAACUCCGUGCCAGCAGCCGCGGUAAUACGGGGGCUGCGAGCGUUAUCCGGAAUUAUUGGGGUUAUAGGGUGCGUAGGCGGACUGUUCAGUCCGCGGUAAAAGCCCGGGGCGCAACCCCGGCGAGCCGGUGAAACUGGCUGUCUUGAGAUGUCGAGAGGGAUGCGGAAUGCGCAGUGUAGCGGGGAAAUGCGUAGAUAGUGCGCAGAACUCCGAUUGCGAAGGCAGCAUACCGGCGGCGAUCUGACGCUGAGGCACGAAAGCGUGGGUAUCGAACAGGAUUAGAUACCCGGGUAGUC
Molecule: ribosomal RNA, 459 nt
Filed under: uncultured bacterium
Lineage: Bacteria
Description: partial 16S ribosomal RNA
Rfam family: Bacterial small subunit ribosomal RNA
Source: RNAcentral